GCCGAACAGACUUUUCCCUUUCUUGCUGAUGUUGGUCAUCCCAUUCUCCAGCAGCUCUAUGCUGACUAGGUGUUGGCUUUUCUGACUCUCUACAGGAACUGGUACCUUAGUUGCUGUGGAAUUCACAUGAAGGGUAGUAUAGGCUGAGGAAAAAGAACUGAAGACAGUUUUUCUCACCUCCAUUAAAGAUACAGAUGUGUCACUGUGCAGCUCUUGUGAACAGCAUCGUCUAGUAGACUGUCGAAUUUCUUGCUUAUCUGAUGAAUUACAGGAAUGUUUCCACAGAUGCUACCUGGUGCAAUUAAGAAGUGAAGGUAGCAACGCUGGAAAUACUUCAGCUGGUUCAGUCAGUUUUGAAGAAACAAUGCCAUUAAAGAGACCUGUAAUCAAACAGGCCUGCAAAUAGUAAUCACUGG
Long non-coding RNA from Hirundo rustica (Barn swallow), 416 nucleotides. RefSeq lists it as uncharacterized. The record is from RefSeq and is a predicted model, not a curated record. The transcript has 3 exons. Lineage: Eukaryota; Metazoa; Chordata; Aves; Passeriformes; Hirundinidae.